UGGUUCUGGCAUCGAUGAAGAACGCAGCGAAAUGCGAUAAGUAGUGUGAAUUGCAGAAUUCAGUGAAUCAUCGAAUCUUUGAACGCACAUUGCGCCCUUUGGUAUUCCAUAGGGCAUGCCUGUUCGAGCGUCAUUUGGACCCUCAAGCACAGCUUGGUGUUGGGUGUUUGUCCCGCUGCGUGCGUGGACUCGCCUUAAAAGCAUUGGCAGCCCUUGCCUUGGUUGGGAGCGCAGCAGAAUCCGCGCUCUACACCCGGCGCACUGGGCACCCAGAAGCUCGUUACCACGCUUGACCUCGGAUCAGGUAGGGAUACCCGCUGA
RNAcentral lists this unclassified non-coding RNA (321 nucleotides) under uncultured fungus. Its description in RNAcentral is "partial contains 5.8S ribosomal RNA and internal transcribed spacer 2". The stretch from base 1 to 133 matches the Rfam family "5.8S ribosomal RNA", at positions 22 to 154 of the family's 154-position model. Lineage: Eukaryota; Fungi. The record is from RNAcentral.